UGAGCUGUGGCUGAGCAUAUCUGAUUGCUGGAUUUCUCUGCAUGACCAGUGCUUCGGAGUACCCAAAAUAUCAAAGAGGGUUUGUGACUGAAAAGUCAACUGGAUCAGAUAAAUGCAAUGGUUCAUUUACAGAACUAGGAAAAGACAGUUGAAAAUGCUAGUGUUAGAAGGAAAUGGAAGGAAAGCAUGUGUUUUACACACACAAAUAUAGAUGAGUUAAAUAAAAACCCUUAAAGCUUGCUCAGGAAAAGACAGCCAGAAAGCAGCCAGAACAAACAAACAAACGAACAAACCACUAAUCUACCAAAAAUGAUCUAUUGUUUGUGGGGAAACCGAAAGAAACACAUUGAUGAUGGACGACUGGUGAAUGAAAGAAGCACAUUUCAUGGAAGGAGCAGAGAAAACUGAAAACUCAGGGCAUGUCUACACUUACUGGGAAUCGACGCUGUGGUGAUUGAUAUAUCAGGGGUCAAUUUAAUGGGUCUAGUGAAGACCCUCUAAAAUCAACCACAGAUCGCUCUCCUGUCAACUCCGAUACUCCACUAGAACAAGAAGAAUAAGGAAUUUGUGCAGGCACAAUCAGGCUUCGUGCAUAACAAUUCAGAGACUGUGUCUGAAAAUUUGAUUCUUCCAGCCCAAUAACAAAAUGGUCUCCAAUCUCCUGCAAACCAGACUCGUGCA
Molecule: long non-coding RNA, 681 nt
Organism: Mauremys reevesii (Reeves's turtle)
Lineage: Eukaryota; Metazoa; Chordata; Testudines; Geoemydidae
Exons: 5
Source: RefSeq, a predicted model, not a curated record